Molecule: ribosomal RNA, 567 nt
Filed under: Paenarthrobacter nitroguajacolicus
Lineage: Bacteria; Bacillati; Actinomycetota; Actinomycetes; Micrococcales; Micrococcaceae
Description: bacterial SSU rRNA
Rfam family: Bacterial small subunit ribosomal RNA
Source: RNAcentral
AGUGGCGAACGGGUGAGUAACACGUGAGUAACCUGCCCUUGACUCUGGGAUAAGCCUGGGAAACUGGGUCUAAUACCGGAUAUGACCGUCUGACGCAUGUCAGGUGGUGGAAAGCUUUUGUGGUUUUGGAUGGACUCGCGGCCUAUCAGCUUGUUGGUGGGGUAAUGGCCUACCAAGGCGACGACGGGUAGCCGGCCUGAGAGGGUGACCGGCCACACUGGGACUGAGACACGGCCCAGACUCCUACGGGAGGCAGCAGUGGGGAAUAUUGCACAAUGGGCGCAAGCCUGAUGCAGCGACGCCGCGUGAGGGAUGACGGCCUUCGGGUUGUAAACCUCUUUCAGUAGGGAAGAAGCGAAAGUGACGGUACCUGCAGAAGAAGCGCCGGCUAACUACGUGCCAGCAGCCGCGGUAAUACGUAGGGCGCAAGCGUUAUCCGGAAUUAUUGGGCGUAAAGAGCUCGUAGGCGGUUUGUCGCGUCUGCUGUGAAAGACCGGGGCUCAACUCCGGUUCUGCAGUGGGUACGGGCAGACUAGAGUGAUGUAGGGGAGACUGGAAUUCCUGGUG